RNAcentral lists this ribosomal RNA (117 nucleotides) under Chelonoidis abingdonii (Abingdon island giant tortoise). Lineage: Eukaryota; Metazoa; Chordata; Testudines; Testudinidae. The record is from RNAcentral.
AGCUCCAAAGUAUACCUCCUUUGUGCAGUCAUCCUGUUUGAACUCCUAAAAUAAGCAGAAUUGGGCCAGAUUAGUAGCUAGGUGGGAGACCCCUAAGAAACAGUGUCAUAGGAAUUU